This 63-nucleotide transfer RNA is filed under the name marine eukaryotic metagenome. It matches the Rfam family "tRNA", at positions 5 to 66 of the family's 71-position model. Rfam says of the family: Transfer RNA (tRNA) molecules are approximately 80 nucleotides in length. Their secondary structure includes four short double-helical elements and three loops (D, anti-codon, and T loops). Further hydrogen bonds mediate the characteristic L-shaped molecular structure. tRNAs have two regions of fundamental functional importance: the anti-codon, which is responsible for specific mRNA codon recognition, and the 3' end, to which the tRNAs corresponding amino acid is attached (by aminoacyl-tRNA synthetases). tRNAs cope with the degeneracy of the genetic code in two manners: having more than one tRNA (with a specific anti-codon) for a particular amino acid; and 'wobble' base-pairing, i.e. permitting non-standard base-pairing at the 3rd anti-codon position. The record is from RNAcentral.
GCGUAGCUCAAUGGCAGAGCGCCGCGCUGUGGACGCGGUGGUUGCGGGUUCGAGUCCCGUCGC